RNAcentral lists this ribosomal RNA (253 nucleotides) under uncultured bacterium. RNAcentral's name for it is "partial 16S ribosomal RNA". It matches the Rfam family "Bacterial small subunit ribosomal RNA", at positions 524 to 776 of the family's 1533-position model. The record is from RNAcentral.
UACGUAGGGUGCAAGCGUUAAUCGGAAUUACUGGGCGUAAAGCGUGCGCAGGCGGUUGUGUAAGACAGAUGUGAAAUCCCCGGGCUCAACCUGGGAACUGCAUUUGUGACUGCACGGCUCGAGUGCGGCAGAGGGGGAUGGAAUUCCGCGUGUAGCAGUGAAAUGCGUAGAUAUCAGGAGGAACACCGGUGGUGUAAACGGCUCUCUGGACCGCUACUGACGCUGAGGCACGAAAGCGUGGGGAGCAAACAGG